CUAAAAAAAUCAACCAUUUUUCAUCAUCGCCACACAAAUAAACGUCAACACGCCUACAUCGAAAUAACCGACGCGCGUUAAUUUAGCCGGUACCCGUCAUUGCCGCGUUUCAUUUAACAUCGUUUUCGCCGAUGCACAAUACGCAUACUGUACUGUUUAGCGUGUACAGUUCAGGGGGAGCGGACGAGGGCAGUCGAACGGGACUGACAGUGUUGUCCGGCGGCGCCGAGCGCGCACUUAGGGCGGCGCAAUUGAACCGCCGAAAAUUGCGGGCGGUUUGGACG
Non-coding RNA from Cinara cedri, 284 nucleotides. The record is from the annotation of a GenBank genome assembly. NCBI's taxonomy places the organism in Eukaryota, Metazoa, Arthropoda, Insecta, Hemiptera, Aphididae.